This 564-nucleotide ribosomal RNA is filed under the name fungal sp. 57468. RNAcentral's name for it is "eukaryotic LSU rRNA". The stretch from base 209 to 362 matches the Rfam family "5.8S ribosomal RNA". Lineage: Eukaryota; Fungi. The record is from RNAcentral.
GGUCUCCGUUGGUGAACCAGCGGAGGGAUCAUUGCUGGAACGCGCUUCGGCGCACCCAGAAACCCUUUGUGAACUUAUACCUAUUGUUGCCUCGGCGCAGGCCGGCCUCUUCACUGAGGCCCCCUGGAAACAGGGAGCAGCCCGCCGGCGGCCAACCAAACUCUUGUUUCUACAGUGAAUCUCUGAGUAAAAAACAUAAAUGAAUCAAAACUUUCAACAACGGAUCUCUUGGUUCUGGCAUCGAUGAAGAACGCAGCGAAAUGCGAUAAGUAAUGUGAAUUGCAGAAUUCAGUGAAUCAUCGAAUCUUUGAACGCACAUUGCGCCCUCUGGUAUUCCGGAGGGCAUGCCUGUUCGAGCGUCAUUUCAACCCUCAAGCCUGGCUUGGUGAUGGGGCACUGCCUGUAAUAGGGCAGGCCCUGAAAUCUAGUGGCGAGCUCGCCAGGACCCCGAGCGUAGUAGUUAUAUCUCGCUCUGGAAGGCCCUGGCGGUGCCCUGCCGUUAAACCCCCAACUUCUGAAAAUUUGACCUCGGAUCAGGUAGGAAUACCCGCUGAACUUAAGCAU